AUACGUAGGGAGCGAGCGUUGUCCGGAAUUACUGGGUGUAAAGGGAGCGUAGGCGGGACUGCAAGUCAGAUGUGAAAUACCGGGGCUUAACCCCGGAGCUGCAUUUGAAACUGUGGUUCUUGAGUGAAGUAGAGGCAAGCGGAAUUCCUGGUGUAGCGGUGAAAUGCGUAGAUAUCAGGAGGAACACCGGUGGCGAAGGCGGCUUGCUGGGCUUUUACUGACGCUGAGGGUCGAAAGCGUGGGUAGCAAACAGGAUUAGAUACCCUGGUAGUCCACGCUGUAAACGAUGAAUACUAGGUGUGGGGGGACUGACCCCUUCCGUGCCGCAGUUAACACAAUAAGUAUUCCACCUGGGGAGUACGGCCGCAAGGUUGAAACUCAAAUGAAUUGACGGGG
This 396-nucleotide ribosomal RNA is filed under the name uncultured bacterium. RNAcentral describes it as "partial 16S ribosomal RNA". It matches the Rfam family "Bacterial small subunit ribosomal RNA", at positions 523 to 918 of the family's 1533-position model. The record is from RNAcentral.